Clarias gariepinus (North African catfish) is the source of this 429-nucleotide long non-coding RNA. RefSeq lists it as uncharacterized. The record is from RefSeq and is a predicted model, not a curated record. Lineage: Eukaryota; Metazoa; Chordata; Actinopteri; Siluriformes; Clariidae. The transcript has 3 exons.
UUUAAAUUUCAAAUUAAACCGCGCAUGCGUGUUUGGAGACGCUGUACCCGCGCUGUGGAUCAGUCGGUUGGGGAUCAUCACGGAGGUACAGCACGGCGUGGCUGGAGCUGGAGUUUGGCGUGUUCGAGAAACAAAGCGUAGAGCUGAGACGUGAAUCUGAAGAGGAUCUCUGAUGAUUGCCUGGAGGACAGACAAAGUGAUGCCAGUUUGCACAUUCUUAAAAUCCUUGUUGUCCGUGCUGUUGAAGGGGAGGAACCAGUUGGUGUAUCCAUAAUCCUUGAAGGAAAGGAAAUUUUGCAAGAAUGUGGCAAUACUGCAAAUGCAUGUGCACUGCUUAUGGGAAUAAUUUAUGCCAUAAACCUUGCAGACCCCCGAGCACUGCGCUACACAUUUGAGCUAUUUCAGAAAGUUCUUUUAGAACUUGGUGGG